CUCCUCCCAACCGCUCCCGCCGGGGCCCGCCAUGCCGCCCUCGGCCUCGCUUCGGAGGCCGCGCAGCCGGCAGGCCGGCUUCCCUCCCGAGGCCUCCCCGACCAAGCCGCGCCUCCAAGGGGCCGCCUGUGCAGCCGAAGGUUGCAAGAAAAACUCCUCGGCCCCUCGGACCAUCUUUCCUGUUUCCAAAUGCCGGGGACCAGUGUCUGUGACUGCGCCGCCUGCCUGAGGGCAUGUACUGAAAAGCCCUGCGACUCCAACAUGUGGGACUCACAAGCACCUUGGACAGGCCUCAAAACGCGGCUGACAUACAGAAUUUUUACCAUUAACGACCUGAGGCAGGACUGGUGGAGGUCAGUUCAUUAGUUACUGAUCUCAAGAAACAAGUCAGGACUAUUUUCUAAUGUGCUUCUUUCAAGUUAGUGUGGAAAGAGCUGAUGCAUCUGUUGUAGCUGACGGAAUUUAAGGAACUGAAUAAUUGACAAGAUUUCCAGAAAAGCAGGGUCGCCAGAUAAUGCUACCUGUUUGCGAAUGAUUGUUACCGUAAUGCUCUAGAGAGCUAAUCCUUUCUCGGCCUAGUCAGAUGAUUUUAAAUCAUUUGAUUUUACAGAGCUUUAGUUUCAGUUUUUUAAAUGAAAAUGGGGAUGGGAUUAGGUCAUCUUCUAACACCCACGACAGCCAUAAAUUGAUAAUCUAUGGAUCCAUAUUUAAAGUUACUGAUAAAAAUAACCACAAUUGACCAGCCUCCCUUCCCUGUUAGGAAAUGCUUUAUAUUUUAAUUUAGCAACCCAUGUGACCAACCCUUUUAGAAUUGAACUGGCUCUCCCUAGGAAAGGUUAGAAAUCUAAUCAGUUAUAGUAAGUUUCUGUUAACAAAUGGGGAGUGGUCGACUUGGAGUUUGGAAAAGGGGAGCGUAAAGUCUAAAAGUUUGUUAAUUUAUCUAGCCGUUGCUCCAGGAGGACCUGUGUUAUAGUUUGGAAACAUUUACAAAGGGUAUUUUUGUGGGGCAGAAAACAGUUAGCAGUCCUUAAUGUAAUUUGGUUGAAAUAACCGUUCAAACCAGACUCCUCCUGUUGCUUUGAUUCCUUUUUCGCAAACUUUCUUAUGUUCUACGUAUCCAGGUGCUCCUGAUGGCCAGCAAUAGACUUGAGACAUUGGAAGAAUGUAUAGCCUUAGCGUCUAUUUAGUGUUAAGAUUUUGUAAGUCUAAUUACUGUGAAAUAGUCCUGGUAACUUUAUCGAUUCUGGAUACAAAGAAAAAUGCAAAGUGAAAGACCUUUGGAAAUUGCUAUUCACACCAGAGUACUCUAUGAGACAUUACAUAGGUGAUCAAGAAGAGUGAUCACCUGGCUGCACUUUAGGGUAUGUUUGUCCAGGUUUUUCUAAUAAGUUAAUUCUAAUCAAUAACUUUUGUUCUAAUUAGUAACUUUUGUAUAAAUGUUAAUGUUAAAUCGCGAAACAAUGUGGGAUGGGAUACUAAGUUCUCUCCAGGAACAUGAAAUGUCAGCCCAUUUAUUCACAUCUUUUUGUCCUCCCUAUUGUAUUGGUCCAGAUUUGUUGUUCAUCCUGACUGUAUGCUGUUUUUAGACAUUAGUUAUUUUUUAUGCUUUUGUCUAAACAAGCUCUGGCCGGGCGCCAUGGCUCACACCUGUAAUCCCAGGCCUUUGGGAGGCCGAGGUAGGCAGGUCACCUGAGGUGGAGAGUUUGAGACCAGCUUGACCAACACGGUUAAACCCUGUCUCUACUUUUAAAAAAAAUACAAAAAUUAGCCGGGCAUGGAGGCACACGUCAGUAAUCCCAGCUGCUUGGGAGGCUGUGGCACGAGAAUCACUUGAACUCAAGAGGCGGAGGUUGCAGUGAGCUGAAAUUGCCCCACUGCACUCCAGUCUGGGUGACAGAGCGAGAUUCCGCCUCAAAAAAAAAAAAAAAAAAAAAAAAGGCCGGGCGCGGUGGCUCACGCCUGUAAUCCCAGCACUUUGGGAGGCCGAGGCGGGCGGAUCACGAGGUCAGGAGAUCGAGACCAUCCUGGCUAACAUGGUGAAACCCCGUCUCUACUAAGAAUACAAAAAAAAAAAAAAAUUAGCCGGGCGUGAUGGCGGGCGCCUGUAGUCCCAGCUGCUGGGAAGGCUGAAGCAGGAGAAUGGCGUGAACCCGGGAGGCGGAGCUUGCAGUGAGCCGAGAUCACGCUGCUGGCUGGGCGCAGUGGUUCAAGCCUGUAAUCCCAGUACUUUGGACGGCCAAGGCGGGCGGAUCACCAUGUUGGCUGGGUUAGUCUGGAAUUCCUGAUCUUAAGAGAUCCGCCCGCCUUGGCCUCCCAAGGUGCUGGGAUUAUAGGCGUGAGCCACUGUGCCUGGCUGGAAGAAGGUAACUCAUUUUGUUUGUUUUUGAGACAGAGUCUCGCUCUGUCACCAGGCUGGAGUGCAGUGGCACAAUCUCGGCUCACUGCAACCUCCGCCUCCCGGGUUCAAGUGAUUCUCCUGCCUUAGCCUCUCAAGUAGCUGGGACUACAGGCGCUCACCACCACACCUGGCUAAUUUUUUGUAUUUUUAGUAGAGACGGGGUUUCACCACGUCAGCCAGGAUGGUCUCCAUCUCUUGACCUUGUGAUCCACCCGCCUCGGCCUCCCAAAGUGCUGGGAUUACAGGCAUGAGGGAAGAAGGUAACCCUUAAAAGGGAGGAAUUGUAAUAAACUAUAAGCUUUGUUAUGUGCCAUUAUAUUCAGAAUAUACCAAAGCUUUAUUUUCUAAAAUCUUGAUUUUUAAAUAAGGAGUUUAUAAAGUAAAACACACACAAAAAGUCUUUCCCCACAAAAUCCUAUUACAUAGAUUUGACCAUGAUCAACAACUUAUUACAUAUCCUCUCACAUUUUCUUGUUGGCCUAAUCAAUGCUUAUAUAUAUGAAACAAACAUAUUUGUUUUAUUUUUACCAAUGUAUGUCUAACUAUCCAGAUUGAUUUGAAAUUUCCUUUCUCUUCCACUUAACAAAGUUAUUUACCAAACUCUUACUAUGUGCCAGGCAAUGCUAGGUGCUGGAAAUUCAUCAUAGUCACUCACAUUAUUGAAUACUACUGUAUACCUUGUAAUGGGCCACGUACAUUAUGUUCCUGAUUUCAUUCCCUUAAUAAACUUAGGAGGGUAAAUUCUCCCUAAUCUGGGAUGUAGGAAAGUUGAAUACAUUGACUAAAAUUAUAUAGGCCCUGCAAGUAAAGUGCUGAAUUAGAAUGUCAUAUAAUCACUGUAUUUACAUUUUAAUAUUCUUGAAGGUAACAACCUUUUCUUUAAAAAUCUAUCAUACAUUUGUGUUGUUCACUAUGUUUCUUAUGUUUCCAGAGACCACUACAGUGAUUGGCUCUGUAGUAGGCAAUUCACUUAUUUAUGGAAUAUUCAACAUUAGAUAUAUGAAUCAUGGAUGACAUAUUUUGGGUCCCCUUCAGUGCCCUGUUGGACCUUGAUAUGGUUUGGCUCUUUGUUUCCAUCCAAAUCUCACCUUGAAUUGUAAUCCCUGUAAUCCCCACAUGUCAAGGAUGGGACCAGGUUGAGGUAAUUGAAUCAUGGGGGUGGUUUCUCCCAUGCUGUUCUCAUGAUAAUUAGUGAGUCUCGGGAGAUCUGAUGGUUUUAUAAGCAUCUGGCAUUUCCCCUGCUUGCACUCAUUCUCUCUCCUUCUGCCCUAUGAAGAGGUGCCUUCUGCCAUGAUUGUAAGUUUCCUGAGGCCUCCCCUGCCAUGUGGAACUGUGAGCCAAUUAAACCUUUUUCUUUAUAAAUUGCCAGUCUUGGGUAUUCAUGGCAGCAUGAGAACGAACUAAUACAGACCUACUGCAUAAUUUGUGGAGCCAUGUGCAAAAUGAAAAUGCAGGGUGCCGUGUUCAAAAAUUAUUAAGAAUUUCAAGACAUGACAUCAAAGUAUUAAGCCAAGCCAGGACCCUUAUAAGUGCUGGACUCUGUGCAACUGCAAAGGUCAUAUGCCCGUGAAGUCUGCACAGUGCCCAGUACAGUGCCCUGUCUAGAGCAGGUACCUGGUCUCUUUUCAGAAAUUUAUUCACUUGCCAUCUUGUAUUUACUUCCACUUUCUUGUCAGCACUCAUUUCUAAAGUGUUCCUAAUCUAGUUUCUGUCACAGGCUGCCACUCAUUUCUUAAGUGUUCCUAGUUUCUGCCACAGGCUAUCGAAAUUGUUUUUCCAAGGUCACAAAUGAUUAUCUGUCAAAUUAAUAUCCCUAUUCUUAAAUGUUAAUCCUUCCUGACCUAGGGAUCAACAUUACUGCCUGUUCAUCCUUUUUUUUUUUUUUUUUUUUUGAGACAGAGUCUUGCUCUGUUGCCCACGCUGGAGUGCAGUGGCACGAUCUUGGCUCACUGCAACCUCUGCCUACUGGAUUCAAGCGAUUCUUCUGCCUUGGCAUCCCAAGUAGCUGGGAUUACAGGCAUGUACCACCACACCUGGCUAAUUUUUAUAUAUUUUUAUUUGUUAUUUUUUGAGUUGGAGUUUUGCUCUCGUUGCCCAGGCUGGAUUGCAGUGGCGCGAUCUCGGCUCACUGCAACCUCCGCCUCCCAGGUUCAAGUGAUUCUCCUGCCUCAGCCUCCUGAGUAGCUGGGAUUACAGGCACACGCCACCAUGCCCAGCUAAUUUUUUGUAUUUUUAGUAGAGACAAGAUUUCAUCAUGUUGGCCAGGCUAGUCUCAAAACUCCUGACCUCAGGUGAUCCACCUGCCUCAGCCUGCCAAAGUGCAGGAAUUACAGGUGUGAGCCACCACACCCGGCCCUGUUGCUUCUUUUUGAUGUUUUCCUUUUUUGUCUUUAUUAAGGACAUUGGUUUUUCCCUUUAGUUCAUCACUGCUUCCUUCUGGAUCCUUCCCUUUUUCGUUUUCUCUCUCCUCUUGUUUCCAUAAGGUUUUGUCACACUGAGGUAUAGAACUUCCUGAGAAACUUUGUGAAAUGCACCCAUUGUUCUCCUACGAGUGGCCACUUUCCCUGGGAAAAGUAUGAGGUGGUGUAAGUGCGUGAGAACUCUCAGGGGAUUUGUACAUGCCUCCUAGGAAGCUAAAGAAGAGGUUAGGCCUGAUUAGUGUAUUUGUUAAGAUGACAAGAUAUAUCACUUCCUUCUCCCAACACACACACACACACACACACACACACACACACACACACACACACACCACAGUUGAAUGAUUUAGAGAUUGAGGAGGUAAUUUGAUACAAAAAGUAUUAAGGAGUCAUUCACAGGGACUUACGUUCUCUUUCAGACAAAUCCCAAUUUGGAAGUCUGAAAAGGCUGAAAUCUUUUUAGUAGGUGCUUUACAAAUGACUUUCACAUAAAACUUUGAUUAAAUUAAUUAGUUACACUUUUCUCUUACUAACUUGUCUUCUGUUAUAAGAGUGUUGGCCAUGACCCUUACAAUGGGUAAGGAAAGGUGUCACACCUCCACUUUUUUCCCCAUAAAAUUGACCUUUUGAAGAGAUCAGGACAAAUGAAUUUGUAGGAUGCUUUACAUUUUGGGUUUAUUUGAUUGUUUUCUGCAGGUGCGAUUUAACUAGAUUCUCUGUCUCCUUCAUUUCCUAUAAAUUGGAAGGUUAAAUCCAAACUCUUAUUAACUUCAAAUUAAUCAGGUUGAGCAAGAGUAUAUCAGAGGUGAUGAUGUGUAGUUUAGAUUGUUGUGUCACAUUACGCGGCACACAAUAUCAGAUUGUCCCGCUAUUUGUGAUGUUAAAUUUCAUCAAAGUGGUAAAACCCUCCUUUGUAAUGAGAAGGUCAUCUCUGAGGUGGUACUUUGGUCCCAUGCAAAUAUUGGACCCCAAAACAACCUUUCCCAUUAUGUGUUAGCAUUUUUGAUCACCCUUGACUGAAUUAUUAUUUCAUUGGGGAUGACAGAAUGAUGACUUUUCUAAUUAUAUCAUUUCUUCUACAUUUAUUAGCUAGCAUUUGUAAACACACACACACACACACACACACACACACACACACACACACAAAAUGUCUCUUCACCAACUGGGAAUGAACUACAAUUCCUCCUUAAAAGACAGGGUAGGUACUUUAAUUACCAAUUUUCAGAAUAAGAAGUUAGUAUAACAGUCACCUUCAAAGGUGGCAAAUUAUCUUUUUUCUCUCUCUCUCUUUGAGUAUCACUAUAGAUUCAUGGGUUUUUAUUUAUUCACUGUUUUAUAAUCAAUUGCAGUCAUUAUUCCUUUUGAUAUUUAAAUUGCCCCAAAUUUGGCCUCUAUGUCCUUUUGAGUUCUCUGUCAGGUGCAUAUGAAUUUUAUUAAUCAAAACAAACUCUAUAUGGUGGAAUUUAGGCAACAUUUGGAAGAGAUUUGGGGAUGAGGAAAGGGACAGAGUGGCCUCUAAAUAGGUAGGCUAUCACUGCCAGCAAGAUUGUCCUUGGAGUCAGCCAUCGUAGGCACAUCUCGACCUGGGAGUCUUUUCUUCCUUCACAUUUAAGCCCCAGAUUUACAAAAAAGCUCCAUUGUUUUCUGUAAUUAAUUGGCAGUGAGAGACCAAAAUUACUGUAUGAAUGUUUGGCUCAUUUGUAAAUUAAGGCCUGCUUAUCUGUGUAGGAAUGGUGAAGAUAACUGUAACCCAAAUGUAAUUCAUUAAAGGGAAAUACUCAUCAGUAGCAAUAUCGGAUAUUAAAUGAGGAAAAUAUGUUAGUAUGUAGUGACAUGAGACUUCUGACUGAGAUGUGAGCAAGAAAACAGAUCCACGGGACCCUCCACACACAGAAACUGAGCUGUUCUGUGCCUUGUUCGUUUGUGUCCUGCUGAGUUCACAUUAACAAAUGAAUCCCAGAAUCUUAGCUCUCCCUGGGAGAUCUAUGUCUUAAGAAAAUUUCUUGUGACAAUAAUACCUUAACCCAAAGCAAACAUUUUCAAAUGGUGGGAAUAAGAGUCAGUGAAGCAAGUCAGUGGAAGAAUUUGAUUUUGGACAGAAACUCUUUCAGCAAGUCACACCAUGAUAGCUCCUUCCAAUUCUGCUGUACAGAUCUCUGGCCCAGGCUGCAAUCUUACAGCUAUAUGGCUGUAAACAAGGUAGAAUGUAGAGAUUAAAUUACCUGAGCGACAGUUAGGAAAUCUCCUUUCUUGUGGAAGCAAGGACUAAUGCUUUCAUAUUGUUGUGAGUCUAGUAAUGCUCAAGAGAUAUUUAAUGUGCGAAAUUUAAAUAACACUCUGGGCUGGGCGCAGUGGCUCAUACCUGUAAUCGCAGCACUUUGGGAGGCCGAGGCGAGAGGAUCACUUGAGGUCAGGAGUUUGAGACCAGCCUGGCCAACAUAGUGAAACCCUGUCUUUACUAAAAAUACAAAAAUUAGCUGGGUGUGAUGGCACACACCUGUAGUCCCAGCUACUUGGGAGGCUGAAGCAGGAGAAUCGCUUGAACCUGGGAGGUGGAGGUUACAGUGAGCCGAGAUCGUGCCACUGCACUCCAGCCUGAGUGACACAGCAAGACUCCAUCUCAUAAUAAUAGUAAUAAUAAUAAUAAUAAUAAUUUAAAAAUAACACUCUGUAAAGGCUUAAAGAAUGCAAGACAUUUAAGGUUGCCUGUGUUUUCAAUAACCUCUCAACCCCUUUUUGUUCUGUUUACUUAAAUUCCCAUUUAGAUUUUAGAAUACUUUUGCUUUAUUUGCUGAUUUUAAUUUCUUUGUAUUUUCCUUUCUUCUGGUUCAUCUGGUCCUCUUGCUAUUAUUGCCUUAAUUAAUUUCUUGGGCUCUGGCAUCAUUUUUCUUCCCACUAACAACUUUUUAAAUAUAUACUUCAGUUUUUGUAAUCAAGGAAGUUUUGGUUUUCUUUAAUAAGUAAAUAUGAAGGGGACACUGCUAAGCCUAUAUCUUAUACAAAGUUAUACACAAUCUUAGAUGACAAAUAAUUUGAAAAUCAAGGAUCUAGAUUUUCCAGGCUCAAGUAUGAUUCAGGUAUUCCUCCUCCCCUGGAUUACUGUAAGCAGAAUCCUUCCCUAGUCGAGAUUCUUUUUGUUACUCUUGUUUACCUUAGAGCUCUGUUCAAGUAAACGGUCUCUCUCUGUAAAAGGAAUCUGGGUAUGAGCUGCUAAAGAGUUACUUCUGCCCCCACAUCAUAAAAUGGAAAAAAACAUGUACCAAGUAAAAUGCUAUUUUAUUUAUUUUUUAUUAUUUAUUUACUUGAGACAGAGUUUUGCUCUUGUCUCCCAGGCUAGAGUGCAGUGGCGCCAUCUCGGCUCACUGCAACCUCUGCCUCCUGGGUUCAAGUGAUUCUCCUGCCUCAGCCUCCCGAGUAGCUAGGAUUACAGGCGCCCGUCACCACGCCCAGCUAAUUUUUUGUAUUUUUAGUAGAGACGGGGUUUCACCAUGUUAGCCAGGAUGGUCUCAGACUCCUGACCUCAGGUUAUCCGCCUGCCUCAGCCUCCCAAAGUGCUGGGAUUACAGGUGUGAGCCACCGCGCCCGACUAUUUUUUAUUUUUUUGAGACAGAGUCUCGCUCUGUCACCCAGGCUGCAGUGUAGUAGGAUAAUCUUGGCUUACUGCAUACUCUGCCUCCCAGGUUCAAGUGCUUCUCGUGCCUCAGCCUCCCGGGUAGCUGGGAUUACAGGUGCCCACCACCACACCCAGCUGAUUUUUGCAUUUUUAGUAGAGAACUGGGUUUCACCAUAUUGGCCAGGCUGGUCCCGACCUCCUGGCCUCAAGUGAUCCUCCUGUCUUGGCCUCCCAAAGUACUGAGAUUACAGGAGUGAACCACUGCCCCUGGUCUCCAAGUAAAGUGCUUUUAUUUGUAAUUAUUCAGCUAAGCAAACAAAUAUUCUGGUUACUAUUACAGCAUAUAUUAGACACGUUCUGCAGCCUCCAAAAGCUUUCAUAAAAAUUAGAAUAAGUCGGUAUAGGAAUAGACAGAGAUGAUUAAAGGGUUUUGGGAUAGGCAUCUUUUCCUGUAUUCUUUUAAGAGGCUUUUUUUCUAGCUUUUAUCUAUUUUGUGGUAAAAAUAUAUAAUAUUAAGUGUGCCAUUUUAAGUAUUUUAGAAUUACAAUUGUCAUUAAUUGUAGUCACAAUAUUGUCUAACUAUCACUACUCUCUAUUUCCAAAACCUUUCCAUCAUUGCAAACAGAAACUUUGUACCCACUAAGUAAUAAUUCUCCAUUCUUUUUCUCUCAGCCCUAGUAACCUCUAUUCUGCUUUCUGUUUCUACAAAUUUGUCAGCCGUUUUAAAAAGAUGAGCUUUGGCAGCUGUGUAGAUGGGAAAUGGCCUAAGGCAGGGUCCCCAACACCUAGGCCAUGAACCAGUAUUGGUCCAUGGCAUGUUAGCAACCAAACUGCACAGCAGGAGGUUCAUCUGUAUUUGACUGAAUUAUUAUUUCAGAGAGAGAGAGUGGAGCUUCAUCUAUAUUUACAGCUGCUCCCCGUUGCUUGCAUUACCACUGGAGCUCCGCCUCCUGUCAGAUCAGCAGAAGCAGCAGUGGCAUUAGAUUCUCAUAGGAGGCUGAACCUUAUUGUGAACUGCACAUGCAAGGGACCUAGGUUGCAUGCUCCUUAUGAGAAUCUAAUGCCUGAUGAUCUGUCACUGUCUCCCAUCACCCCCAUAUGGGACGAUCUAGUUGUAGGAAAACAAGCUCAGGGCUCCCACUGAUUCUACAUUAAGGUGAUUUAUGUCAUUAUUUCAUUAUAUAUUACAAUAUAAUAAUAGAAAUAAAGUGCACAAUAAAUGUAGUGUGCUUGAAUAGUCCUGAUAACCAUCCCCCCACCCACUGUCCCAGUCCAUGGAAAGAUUGUCUUUUAUGAAACCCAUCGCUGGUACCAUAAUGAUUGGGGACUGUUGGCCUAAGGAAUGCAAAGGAAUGAAACUCUUUUCCUUCAGGUAAUUGUAACAACAUAAUGUUUUGAAAACCAUUCUUGUUAGUUUCUUUUUUGCUUUUCUCAGAGCCCAAUCUUUGCUCUAGUUGGCAGAGAUGUUGAUCAGGCUGGCAGAACUGGGAUAUGGAAAGGAUACAAAAAGAAAAUGUUACAUGGUAUUCAGCUUCUGAAAACAAAAUAGUAUUAUGCAUGUCAGUAGCCUUGCAAGCAAGCUGAGUUUUCCUUUUUUUUCUUUUCUUUUCUUUUUUUUUUUUUUUUGAGGUCUCACCAUGUUACCCAGGCUGCAGCCCAUGUCGCCCAGGCUGCAGCCCAGCGGCCCAAUCACAGCUCACUGUAGCCUUGACCUCCUGGGGUCAAGCUGUUCUCCCACCUCAGCCUCCUAAGUAGCUGGGACUACAGAUGUGCACCACCACACUCAGCUAAUUUUUUAAAAUUAUUAUUUGCAGAGAUGAGGUCUCACUAUAUUGCCCAGGCUGAUCUUGGAUUCCUGGGCUCAAGCGAUCCUCCCUCCUCAGCCUCCCAAAGUGCUGGAAUUAUAGGCAUGAGCCACCUCACCUGGCCACAAGCUGAGUUUUUAUCUUAAGAUAUGAUUUUUUCUAAAUUCCUUUUCCCCCUUUAAUAUAUCACUUGCUGAAUCAGGAGGGACCGACUCAAAAGUUUCGUGUUAUUGAGAGGAUAUUCUUCUGUUUAUGUUAGCAAAGCCACAAGUCUUGCUGAUCAAUGGUAGAAAGAGGCCUGACACGGUGGCUCAUACCUAUAAUCUAAGCACUUUGGGAGGCCGAGGCAGGAGGAUCACUUUAGCCCAGGAAUUCGAGACCAGCCUGGGCAACAUGAUGAAAUCCAAUCUCUACAAAAAAUAUGAAAAUUAGCUGGGUAUGGUGGUGCACGCCUGUAGUUCCAGCUACUCCGGAGGCUGAGGUGGGAGGAUCCCUUGAGCCCAGGAGGUCAAGGUUGCAGCAAGCCGUUAUGGCGCCACCGCACUCCAGCCUGGGUGACAAAGUGAGACCCUGUCACACACACACACACACUAGAGGGCAAAUAGGCUAAGUAUGCCUGCAAGUAACAAAAAUACUGCAGAUAAUAGUAGCCUCAAGGUAAGAGUUUGUUUCUUUGCCAUAUUCCAGAAUUCAUUAAAAUAACUGAAGUCUGCUGGGCACGUUAAAUUUGCCUGCAAGUAACAAAAAUACUACAGGAUGAUAGUAGCCUCAAGGUACAAGUUUGUUUCUUUGCCAUAUUCCAGAAUUCAUUAAAAUAAGUGAAGUUGGCUGGGCACAUUAAAUUUGCCUGCAAGUAACAAAAACACUACAGGAUAAUAGUGGCCUCAAGGUACAAGUUUGUUUCUCUGCCAUAUUCCAGAAUUCAUUAAAAUAACUGAAGUUGGCCGGGCGCAGUGGCUCACGCCUGUAAUCCUAGCACUUUGGGAGGCCGAGGCGGGGGGAUCACUUGAGGUCAGGAGUUCGAGACCAGCCUGGCCAACAUGGUGAAACCCUGUCUCUACUAAAAAUACAAAAAUUAGCCAGGAGUGAUGGUGCACACCUGUAAUCCCAGCUACCCGGGAGGCUGAGGCAGGAGAAUCGCUGGAACCUGAGAGGCCGAGGCUGCAGUGAGCCGAGAUUGUGCCACUGCACUCUAGCCUGGGUUAACAGAGUGAGACUCUAUCACAAAAAAAAAAAAAAAAAAAGGAAAAAAAAGAGUAGGUUAGGCUUUGAGUACAUCAAGAGGCUGGGAAAUGGGUUUUGCUAGCUAAGAAAGUAACAAAGACAUUUUCUCUUUUCUGUGACUGUGGCUAAGACUAGUCCUGUCCUGUCUUUGCCAUAAACUAUGUGGGAAAUGGCUUUCCUUCACAAAAUGAGUCCCUAAAGAGAAGGGAGACUGAUGGCCAUCUCUCUCCAUGUGGCCUGAAGAGCCAGGAGGUAGGAAUAAGGGGAGUCAAGCAAGGCCUUAACCAGACUCUAAUACGCAAGCUGGCCCUGUUGCCUUGGGAAGAAUGUGGCUCCGGUGAGUAGCAGCAGGUAGAGGUGUAUAAUCUGGGAUAUGUGCAGCUCUGAUGCCUUCCGUUUUAGAAAGGACUCUGCUUUGCUCUGGCCUUUAAUUUAUGCCACAUAGGCACAGGGGCUACAUAACAUAGUGGUUUACAGCAAGGAUUUGGGAUCCAGACUGGCCAGAUUUGAACUCCAGCACUAUUCCUUGAUACCUCUGAAACUUGGGACAAGUAACUUAGUCACUAUGUAUGAAAAGAGAUAAUAAUACUAGUACCUUCCUCAUACUACAAGACUACAAGAUGUGGUCAAGACCAGAAAUAUAUAAGCACUGUAAAAACAAUGUAAAACCAAAUGAAAAUUCUUCAUUUGUAUCUUCCAAAAAUAAAAAAAUAGCUAUUUGGGAUUCUUGUCUACUUUGUCCCUGUAGUCCUAUAUAUUGUUUCUCUUAUGUCAGAUUUCUAACUAGUGGUUCUGUUUUGUUUUUUUACAAAAUUUUAAUAAGGUUUUUUUUUUUUUUUUGGCAGAGCUAGCUGAGGUUUUAUUUUGGACAAAAAAAAAAAAAGCCAGGUAUGGUGGCUCACGCCUGUAAUCCCAGCAUUUUGGGAGGCCGAGGCAGACCAAUCAUGAGGUCAGGAGUUCAAGACCAGCCUGGCCAAUAUGUUGAAACCCCAUCUCUACUAAAAAUACAAAAAUUAGCUGGGCGUGGUGGCGUGUGCCUGUACUCCUAGCUACUCGGGAGGCUGAGGCAGAAGAAUCACUUGAUCCCAGGAGGCAGAGGUUGCAGUGAGCCGAGGUCAUGCCACUGCACUCCAGCCUGGGCGACAGAGCGAGACUCCGUCUCAAAAAAAAAAAAAAAGCAAUUGAAUUGUUUUGUAGCUGGAGGCAUGGGGCAAAGGGGGUCCCCCGCGGUGGGCUGAGGGUUGGGGCUGAGCCUCGGGUGGGUUUCCUGUUGCCUGUGCUCCCCUGCACAGUGGCCUCCCUCCCGGGCUCUGGGGCAGCCGCAGGAGGGGCACGCUGGGAGGGGCUGCCGCAGCUGUUCACUUGCGCAGGACGUCAGAAGACUCGGACACCAGCUUCCCAUUGCGGGUCUGUAUCUUCUUCACAACCACGGCCCUGGUGGAGCUGCUGUGGCUGAAGGAGCUGGAGCCCACGCCAGAGCCAAAGCUGGAGCCCAGGCCGUAGCUGAGGCUGGGGCUUGUGAGGCCCCCAUAGGCCGAGCUCAGACCACCUGCAUAGCUGCUGGUGGUCUUCGUAUGGAUACUCAUGUUCUGCAUCCCAGACUCCAGCCGGCUGUCCUUGCCCUCCAGCAGCUUCCUGUAGGUGGCGAUCUCCAUAUCCAGGGCCAGCUUGAUGUUCAUCAGCUCCUGGUACUCAUGCAACUGCCAUGCCAUGUCUUGCUUGGCCCGCUGCAGGGCCGCCUCCAGCUCGGACAGCUUGGCGUUGGCAUCCUUAAUGGCCAGCUCCCCACGCUGCUCAGCAUCUGCGACGGCGGCCUCCAGGGAAGCCUUCUGGCCUUUGAGACCCUCAAUCUCAGCCUGGAGCCAGCUGAUGUUCCGGUUCAUCUCGGAGAUCUCAGUCGUUGUAUGCCGCAGGUCAUCGCUGUGUGGUUUUUUUUUUUUGUUUUUUUUUUUUUUUUUUUUUUGAGAUGGAGUCUCGCUCUGUUGCCCAGGCUGGAGUGCAAUGGUGCAAUUUCAGCUCACUGCAACCUCCACCUCCCAGGUUCAAGUGAUUCUCUGUCCUCAGCCUCCCAAGUAGCAGAGAUUACAGGCACCUGCCACCACACCCGGAUAUAUUAUUAUUAUUUUUGAGAUGGAGUCUUGCUCUGCUGCACAGGCUGGAGUGCAGUGGCAUAAUCUCAGCUCACUGCAACCUCCGCCUCCUAGGUUCAAGACAUUCUCCUGUCUCAGCCUCCUGAGUAGCUGGGAUUACAGGCACACGCCACCAUGCCCAGCUAAUUUUUAUAUUUUUAAUAGAGAUGGGGUUUUGCCAUGUUGGCCAGGCUGGUCUUGAACUCCUGACCUCAGGUGUUCUGCCUGCCUCGGCCUCCUGAAGUGCUGGGAUUACAGGCGUAAGCCACCGUGCCCAGCCUUUUUUUGUAUUUUUAGUAGAGAUGGGGUUUCACCAUGUUGGCCAGGCUGGUCUCGAACUCCUGACCUCAAGUGAUCUGCCUGCCCCAGCCUCCCAAAGUGCUGGGAUUACAGGCAUGAACCACCGCGCCCAGCUUGUUUUCCUUUUUGAAAAACACAGGCAAACAAUCUUCAUUUGGUAGGAUUAACCAUGCUGAAUUUACAAUAACACAUUUCUGGCCUUGUUUACAUCCUGUAGCUUAUUUGUAGAGCAUACUAACUAGCAUAUGUUGUGUGUUUACUUCAAGCUUAUAAUAUCAGCUGUGAAUUUUGUUCAGUUCAAUACUAUCAUAGUCUUUUGAAGAUAUAAAGAUAUAUUAUCUUAAACAUUAUAGGGUAUACAAGUGAAGCCAGAGUAAUUUGUUUCAGUCCAAAUUUCUUCAAUUUUUUUUUUUUUUUGAGAUGGAGUCUCACUGUAUGGCCCAGGCUAGUGUGUAGUGGCAUGAUCUCAGCUCACUGAAAUCUCCGCCUCCUGGUUCAAGCAAUUCUCAUGUGUCAACCUCCCAAGUAGCUGGAACUACAGGCACCCACCACCACACCUGGCUAAUUUUUUUUUUCCUUUUUUUUUUUUUCUUUUUUGAGACGGAGUCUCACACUGUCUCCCGGGCUAGAGUGCAAUGGCAUGAUCACAGCUCACUGCAAGCUCUGCCUCCAAGUUCACACCAUUCUCCUGCCUCAGCCUCUUGAGUAGCUGGGAUUAUAGGUGCACACCACCACACCCGACUAAUUUUUGUAUUUUUAGUAGAGAUGGGGUUUCACUAUGUUGGCCAGACUGGUCUCAGAUUCCUGCCCUCAUGAUCCGCCCACCUCGGCCUCCUAAAGUGUUGGGAUUACAGGUGUGAGCCACCGUGCCUAGCAUUUUUUGUAUUUCAGUAAAGACAGGGUUUUACCAUGCUGGCCUGGCUAGCCUCGAACUCCUGAGCUCAGGCAAUCCUCCCGCCUUGGCUUCUCAAAGUGCUGGGAUUAAUUUUUAUUAUUUUAAUUAUCUACAUGUUGUAGCUGUAUUCCUACUAUACUUUUUCCAGCAGAUUAUUUCUUGGUGAAAUGUCCCUUAAAUCAGAUAUGAACCAUGUGAAAAUAAUCAUUAUAAAUAUUCUAAUAUGCAGUUAUUUAUUUUUUAAAAAUAUGGGUACAUAGUAGGUGUACUGAUUUAGAUUUAAAGCAAUUUUAGUUCUGGAAAUAUGUUAUUCCUCUAUUCAUACUAUUUUAAAUUUGAACUUGUCUUAAGCAUUAACUGUUAUUAGGUACAAGACAAUUGCAAAAGCUGAAAAUACUAUUAUUAAAUAAUAAAGCAAUAAAAAUGUUUUUUGUUGGGGGGAGAGGAGAAGGAAAGUUCAAAUACACCUAGUCAGGGACCCAAGCAUCCUAAUAAAAAAUCAUUUAGCAUCGAGUCUCUCAGAGUGUGCUCACAUGUUCAGAACAUUCAAAACACUUGAUUCCAUGUAUCUGAGGGAGAGUUAUCACACAUUUUGUUCCUCCAAAUUGAAAUAAUAUUUUAUAUAUUUUUUGAGACAGAGUCUCACUCUGUUGCCCAGGCUGGAGUGGAGUGGCGCAAUCUUGGCUCACUGCAACCUCCAUCUCCCAGGUUCAAGCAAUUCUCCUGCCUCAGCCUUCUGAGUAGCUGGGACUACAGGUGCAUGCCGCUAUGCCUGGCUAAUUUUUAUAUUUUUAGUAGAGACAGGAUUUCACCAUAUUGGCCAGGCUGGUCUCGGACACCUGACCUCAAGUGAUCUACCCACCUCGGCCUCCCAAAGUGCUAGGAUUACAGGCGUCAGCCACUGUGCUGGCCUCAAAUGGAAACUUUGAGUUUUUUCUCUUUUUGGCUGACAAAUGACUUUGAUUUAUCAGUUUUGAAAUUACACAUUCCUUAAUCUAGAGCUAAUAAGUAACAAACUGACCCCAUGGUAUAACUUGAAAUUAGGACUGUAUCAUAAAACAGAUAUCAUAUUAUCAGUUAAUAUGAGUUAAGUUUCUAAAAUUUAGAAAACUGACUUUCUUUCAAUGAGUACUGCUAUUUACUGAAGGGUAAAAUAAGAGUUACAUGGUGUAGUUGAUGGAGUGUGUUAGCACACCUCCAGCAGGUGGGUGCCUACUACUGCACUGAAUCAGAGCCUCCAAUGCCCCUGGGUUUCCCAUUUGCCUCUCAUGAAGCGUUUUAGGUUGAUUAAUUCCAGGAUAGGCACUAAUAUCAUUGUUCCCAGUAAUCUAGCAACAUAAAGCCUUGUAAACCAAGACCUUAGACAUUUCCAUGAAGUCUUUUCAAGUGCUGCUUUCUACUCGCUGGCUGUCAUAGAUCAUUGCAGCUCUACAGGCAAUCUUUGGAAUAUAUUUCCAGCCAUUUUAGUCUCAGCUCUUUUUUUUUUUUUUUUUAAAGACUAGUGAAAUACAAUAGUCAGAUGAGGGGAAAGAGUAGAACAAGGAGGUUGAUCUGUAACUGACUGUGACCCAUCAACUGAGGUAACUCACUUCCUUCGGACCAGCCUCAGCUCUUUUUGUGAGUAAGGAAUAGAAAUCUACCCACAUUAGUUCAAAUAAAGGAGAUGGGGAUAUACAAUAAUUUUGGUAAUUAAAAUCAAAUACUGUCAGCCUUCAUGAGAAAUAAGCCUGUACACUGAAGUUGUCAGGGACCAAGAAAUCUGUAUUCUCCCUUUUUUUGUCUUUCUGGGGCCAACUGGUGUCUCCUUUUCCUUUCUCUUAGCACAUUUACUCCAUUUUCCUCUUUCAUUUAGUUGGCAGAUUGAGGCACUGUUUUUAAAAUGGCAAACAGACUGCAAGUCUUUGUGACCCUUUAGCAUAACUACCUUCAGGCUUUAGGUAUCUGUUUAAAAUCUUGAGAAAGAGGGACAGCGGGAGAAGGAGACUGGGAGAGUGGAGGAAGAUGGAGAGAAUAUGAUUUCAUGUGGGAAAGCCAGUAACGGACUUUGUUUUACUUCAAGUAUCUAUCUUUGAUUCAGUCAACCUUGGUUGUAGGGCUGUUAAAGAUCAAUCUUGUUCAUCAACAACAAAGAAAUGAAAGAUAAAAAACAAUCAUUAUAUUUUUACACUCCCUGAUAUUUUCUCUUAGAAGGUUAGCUGGAUUUUAUGAUAUUCAGUUGGCAAGAGCUUAAAAUAAACAAUUUGGCGGAGCAAUAUUGCAAUGUGGAUGGAGUUGAGAAAUAGACUAUCACUUUCUCAUACUAUGUGCCUGUUUCUAUGUGUAUCUUUUUCUUUAUUUUCACUAAUCAAAUAUAAGCACUGAAUUUCUAAUUAUAGUCCUAGAUCUGCUAGAGAGGCAUUUGAUAAACCAAAACUUUUGAAAAUAUUUAGAACUUUCAAAAGGAUCAAAACCUCAUUAGUGGUGAUGAGAGUGUUUUAAAGCUCAUAGGGGCUUUAUAGCUUCAUUUAGUUCAAUUCCAUAAUUUUACAGAUAAAUGAAGAACAGACAAGGGAAGUAAGUGAUGCAAGGCCACACAGCUCACUGGAGAUGGAGCUGGACUCCACUUUCUGUCAUUAUGUUUCUUAAUUCACUGUCAUUAUGCUUCUAAUUAAAAAAUACUACUUAGCAAACAAUUCACAUUAACAGAAGGGAUAAUUAAAAUCUAGUAAAGUUAUUAAAGGUUUUUCUCUCUUGAUAUGUGAUCAUUUUAACAAAUUAGUACUAGAUUGAGAUGUAACCUUGAGUGUGUUGCUUAUUCUCUAGGGAUCUCCAGUUCUUUUGAUUUACUAUAAUUCCCUUUACAAUAAUGAAGUUCCAUGCCUGAUUGGAUUAUCAGAAAGGAUUCUACCCCUCAGGCGUUUCAAUUAGUUCAUUGUUGCUGUGAUUAUAUUUUUCUCCUCUCUAUGUAUUAUUUAUGAAAUUUUAUUAUAAUAGAAUUUAAAAUAUUAGACCUCGAGGAAACCUUAGGAAUUACAUAGUCCAGAACUCCCUCAUUAACUUAUACCAUAUUUUAUUUUAUUCUUCUAAUUAUUGAUAAACUACGGAGGUGGCAAAAAGAAUCUGGGACGAUGAAUAUGAAGCACUUUCUGGAUGACUACUUUUGACCUCUGAAGAGAAAAUGAAACUCAAAUGAGGCCUCAUCUUUGUCAAUGAAGGCUUAUUUACUUACACCAUAAUUAUUUCUUGACUGUUUUUACAGAAUAGAUUUUUGUUUUAACUUGCAUUAACCGAAUCAUAAUAUUCACAGAUAUAAAAUAAGAAAGUGGCCAUGUUUAUGUUUUUAUUGCAUGAAAUAAAACCAAGUUCUAGGUCAUUCUCCUAUAUUGAUAAUUAGUAGAGCAUAAAAUAUACAUAGACAUUAAAUAUGUCAUUGAUGUUAAGGUUUUUCUACAAGAGACUUUCUCUUGUAGAAAAUCUCAUAAAAGAUCUUAAGUUUUAUGAUACAUUUUGAACAUUAUCUAUAAUAUAUUCAUUAAAUAUUUACAGUGCUCUCAUGAACAAAGCACCAUCUCAGAUAUAAGGAAUAGGUGUUCUGAAGUCCUCAAGCCUAAAGUUCUCUGUCAAACAUUUCGGUUUUGUUUAUGUUUUAGUGAUGACACACCUUUAAGAACUGGACAGAAACUAGGCUACUUUUACUUGCCAAGAACAUCACAUUCUAGCCAAUACAUUUUUUUACAUGAUAGUGUGAGCCAAGUCCCAGGUGUCAUUAAAGUAUCCCUUAAUGUGUGGAGCAAAGAUUGUUUCUAAAAAUUGUUCAAAGAGCCAAAUUCCUAAAUAGUAAAAGAUUUUAAAAGUAUAUAUAAAAGUAGAUAUCUAAAAUUUAAAAAAUUUCUUCUCAUUCCUUUAAAAACCUAUUUCUAUUUCUCAGGUAAGAACAGCGCAGCCUUCUUCCCAUUCCUGGCUCUCUAUCAAUUUCAGUAUUAGAUUCUGUGCUAUUUCCUGUACUGUGAGUUUGAAUUUCUAAGCAACAAAGAUGAACAAGGUAGGAACAGUGUGUCUUCCCAUUUUCAUCUAUAUGUAAAAGGUAGGAAGUGAGACCGCACGCAGUGGCUCAUGCCUGUAAUCCCAGCACUUUGGGAGGCCGAGGUAGGUGGAUCACCUGAGGUCAGGAGUUUGAGACCAGCCUGGCCAACAUGGCGAAACCGC
Molecule: long non-coding RNA, 18966 nt
Filed under: Homo sapiens (human)
Lineage: Eukaryota; Metazoa; Chordata; Mammalia; Primates; Hominidae
Description: non-protein coding lnc-NFE2L2-1:6
Rfam family: Metazoan signal recognition particle RNA (bases 11177-11293)
Source: RNAcentral